GUGAGGAAUAUUGGUCAAUGGACGGGAGCCUGAACCAACCAAGUCGCGUGAAGGAAGAAGGAUCUAUGGUUCGUAAACUUCUUUUGCAGGGGAAUAAAGUGCAGGACGUGUCCUGUUUUGUAUGUACCCUGAGAAUAAGGAUCGGCUAACUCCGUGCCAGCAGCCGCGGUAAUACGGAGGAUCCGAGCGUUAUCCGGAUUUAUUGGGUUUAAAGGGUGCGUAGGUGGUUUGAUAAGUCAGCGGUGAAAGUUUGCAGCUUAACUGUAAAAAUGCCGUUGAAACUGUCGGACUUGAGUGUAAAUGAGGUAGGCGGAAUGCGUGGUGUAGCGGUGAAAUGCAUAGAUAUCACGCAGAACUCCGAUUGCGAAGGCAGCUUACUAAGCUACAACUGACACUGAAGCACGAAAGCGUGGGGAUCAAACAGGAUUAGAAACCCGGGUAGUCC
RNAcentral lists this ribosomal RNA (445 nucleotides) under uncultured bacterium. Its description in RNAcentral is "partial 16S ribosomal RNA". It matches the Rfam family "Bacterial small subunit ribosomal RNA", at positions 354 to 796 of the family's 1533-position model. The record is from RNAcentral.